Cinara cedri is the source of this 222-nucleotide non-coding RNA. NCBI's taxonomy places the organism in Eukaryota, Metazoa, Arthropoda, Insecta, Hemiptera, Aphididae. The record is from the annotation of a GenBank genome assembly.
UUUUUUUUUUUUUAGUGGCGUGUCAGUUAUCAGGCCCGAUAGGCACGGGUCAACCUUGACUUUUCUUAACCCUACAUAAGUUAUAUCUAACAAGUUAGCUUUUUUCCCAUCUAUUCGUCGCACAAAAAAUCGGUGGAAACCGGAAGAUGCCUAGGAAUCCCAAACAAUCUCUUAGAAGUCUUCAGCCCAGAUGAAGACAACAGGAACAAAAUCAUCCAAUUC